This 433-nucleotide ribosomal RNA is filed under the name uncultured bacterium. RNAcentral's name for it is "partial 16S ribosomal RNA". It matches the Rfam family "Bacterial small subunit ribosomal RNA", at positions 29 to 507 of the family's 1533-position model. The record is from RNAcentral.
AACGAACGCUGGCGGCAGGCCUAACACAUGCAAGUCGAGCGCGCCCUUCGGGGUGAGCGGCGGACGGGUGAGUAACGCGUGGGAACGUGCCCUUUUCUACGGAAUAGCCUCGGGAAACUGAGAGUAAUACCGUAUACGCCCUUUGGGGGAAAGAUUUAUCGGAAAAGGAUCGGCCCGCGUUGGAUUAGGUAGUUGGUGGGGUAAUGGCCUACCAAGCCGACGAUCCAUAGCUGGUUUGGGAGGAUGAUCAGCCACACUGGGACUGAGACGCGGCCCAGACUCCUACGGGAGGCAGCAGUGGGGAAUCUUAGACAAUGGGGGCAACCCUGAUCUAGCCAUGCCGCGUGAGUGAUGAAGGCCUUAGGGUUGUAAAGCUCUUUCAGCUGGGAAGAUAAUGACGGUACCAGCAGAAGAAGCCCCGGCUAACUCCGUG